GACGAACGCUGGCGGCGUGCCUAAUACAUGCAAGUAGAACGCUGAAGAGAGGAGCUUGCUCUUCUUGGAUGAGUUGCGAACGGGUGAGUGACGCGUAGGUAACCUGCCUUGUAGCGGGGGAUAACUAUUGGAAACGAUAGCUAAUACCGCAUAACAAUGGAUGACACAUGUCAUUUAUUUGGAAGGGGCAAUUGCUCCACUACAAGAUGGACCUGCGUUGUAUUAGCUAGUAGGUGAGGUAACGGCUCACCUAGGCGACGAUACAUAGCCGACCUGAGAGGGUGAUCGGCCACACUGGGACUGAGACACGGCCCAGACUCCUACGGGAGGCAGCAGUAGGGAAUCUUCGGCAAUGGGGGCAACCCUGACCGAGCAACGCCGCGUGAGUGAAGAAGGUUUUCGGAUCGUAAAGCUCUGUUGUAAGUCAAGAACGAGUGUGAGAGUGGAAAGUUCACACUGUGACGGUAGCUUACCAGAAAGGGACGGCUAACUACGUGCCAGCAGCCGCGGUAAUACGUAGGUCCCGAGCGUUGUCCGGAUUUAUUGGGCGUAAAGCGAGCGCAGGCGGUUUGAUAAGUCUGAAGUUAAAGGCUGUGGCUCAACCAUAGUUCGCUUUGGAAACUGUCAAACUUGAGUGCAGAAGGGGAGAGUGGAAUUCCAUGUGUAGCGGUGAAAUGCGUAGAUAUAUGGAGGAACACCGGUGGCGAAAGCGGCUCUCUGGUCUGUAACUGACGCUGAGGCUCGAAAGCGUGGGGAGCGAACAGGAUUAGAUACCCUGGUAGCCCACGCCGUAAACGAUGAGUGCUAGGUGUUGGAUCCUUUCCGGGAUUCAGUGCCGCAGCUAACGCAUUAAGCACUCCGCCUGGGGAGUACGACCGCAAGGUUGAAACUCAAAGGAAUUGACGGGGGCCCGCACAAGCGGUGGAGCAUGUGGUUUAAUUCGAAGCAACGCGAAGAACCUUACCAGGUCUUGACAUCCCGAUGCUAUUUCUAGAGAUAGAAAGUUACUUCGGUACAUCGGUGACAGGUGGUGCAUGGUUGUCGUCAGCUCGUGUCGUGAGAUGUUGGGUUAAGUCCCGCAACGAGCGCAACCCCUAUUGUUAGUUGCCAUCAUUCAGUUGGGCACUCUAGCGAGACUGCCGGUAAUAAACCGGAGGAAGGUGGGGAUGACGUCAAAUCAUCAUGCCCCUUAUGACCUGGGCUACACACGUGCUACAAUGGUUGGUACAACGAGUUGCGAGUCGGUGACGGCAAGCUAAUCUCUUAAAGCCAAUCUCAGUUCGGAUUGUAGGCUGCAACUCGCCUACAUGAAGUCGGAAUCGCUAGUAAUCGCGGAUCAGCACGCCGCGGUGAAUACGUUCCCGGGCCU
This 1369-nucleotide ribosomal RNA is filed under the name uncultured bacterium. Its description in RNAcentral is "bacterial SSU rRNA". It matches the Rfam family "Bacterial small subunit ribosomal RNA", at positions 28 to 1381 of the family's 1533-position model. The record is from RNAcentral.